UACGUAGGCAGCAAGCGUUGUUCGGAGUUACUGGGCGUAAAGGGUGUGUAGGCGGUUUUUUAAGUUUGGUGUGAAAUCUCCCGGCUCAACUGGGAGGGUGCGCCGAAUACUGAAAGACUAGAGUGCGGGAGAGGAAAGUGGAAUUCCUGGUGUAGCGGUGAAAUGCGUAGAUAUCAGGAGGAACACCGGUGGUGUAGACGGCUUUCUGGACCGUAACUGACGCUGAGACACGAAAGCGUGGGUAGCAAACAGG
Molecule: ribosomal RNA, 253 nt
Filed under: uncultured bacterium
Lineage: Bacteria
Description: partial 16S ribosomal RNA
Rfam family: Bacterial small subunit ribosomal RNA
Source: RNAcentral